CAAAUAGAAGAUUGUGGAUCCCUGGGAACGCAGAGCAGGAAUGCGUGGCAGGAAGGAAUCUCCCAGGGAUUCACAGUUCACCCCUAAAUCAAUCCGUGGGGCCCGAGGGGCAAAGUAUCUGAGUGACCCAGCCCUCAGUCUUGUGUCCGUUCCUGAGAAGGAGCUCAGCCUUGCCCCUCAGGAGCUGCAUGUACCAAAGACCACAGAUGGAGGCGUGACACAGACUGUCCACUGCAGAGACCAUGGACGGAGGCAGCCUCCGAGCCAGCCCAGCAGCCAUGGACGGAGGAGCCUUGGAGCCAGCCCAGCAGCUCUCCGCACUGGAGGGGUGGACGGGACAGGACCGGCUGCUCAUUCCACGCUGGAGGGAGGCCAGGAGUCUCAGCUGGAUGCAGUCACCUGACCUGGAGAGUUCAAAGUGCCUAACACAGGAAGGUCCUGGAGGGGAUGGCCUGGGAUGGGCUAGGACCCGGUUCCCACCUCAGGAGGCCUCUGGCCAUGGAAGUGCUAAGGUGCCUAGUAUCCGUCUGUCCGGGUGACUCUGGCUUGGGGGUUGGGUGGCGGGAUGCUGCUACCCACAAGCCUGGAUCCUGGCGUGCUCCGCGGCUCUCCUUCAAGCCCUGGCCUCAUCAGACCUCCAAGGCUCCCUAGACAGGGUUAAUUAUUCACGUGGCCUGGGACCCAGGGUUCGUUUGUUUGUUUUUCCCGACACAGUAGGGUCCACGAGGAAGUCAGGAUCCACCGGCAAUAUUUGCAGUGUUAUGUUGAAUGUGGCAACUGGCUGCGUGAGGAUAGAGAAGUAAACAGCAUGUCCGGUGGCAGUCGGUUACCACACAGAAUUUAGGAGGCCCAGUGAAAUGCAAAUGCUAGGUAAGUGACACGUAAGUUUUUGAUAUAAGCAUAUCCCAGGCAACAUUUAUUUAUUGGAAAUUGAAACUCACAUUUAACCGGCCAUAUUAUUUUUUUUAAAUUUUUUUGUUCUCUAAAUCUAUCUUUUGUUUGCCGAAUUUCUAGCAACCUUAGAUGGAGAGGUGGCUCUGAGAUUAGCAUCCCCACAGGCCCACCUCUGGCUGGAGAGACAAAGGGAGGUGGGGUGCUGCCGGGGAGGGAGAGCCAAGGUCUACUUCCACGCCGCUCCCAGACCUGGGGCCAGAGGCCCGCUUGCUGGGGGCUGGGGCUCAGAGGGGAGCGAGCGGCUGCUGUCAGGCUGUCUGAAAAUGCUGUGCGGAUUCCCCGAUUUUCUCUCGCCUGGCAGGUCACCUGGCCCACACUCUCCUCCCCUGAUCCCCUGAGUGCUCCCCUCCCCCUGCAGGUCCCCCUCCCCUCUGGGUGAGCCUGGAUGCCAGCACCCUGUUCCGCCCGCCCAGCAUGCAGAACAAAAGCACAACGCACAGAAACACAGCCGGUGCGCGCAGGGCGGCAGGCUGGCUUCUCCCUCCCUCCUGCCGAGGUCUCCGGCCCCUUCCCCCUUCCCUCCUUCCCUCCCCUCUCCUCUUCUAUUAGAAAAUGGGAGUGUUAGGGUUGAAUUGUGUCCCCCCAAAACAGGUAUGUUGGGGUCCUGAUUCCCAGUCCCCUAGAAUGUGACCGUGCUUGGAGAUAAGACCUUUACAGAGUAACUGAUUAAAAUGAGGUCAUUAGCAGGGACCCUAGUGCAGCAUGACUGGUGUCCUUUCAAAAAGGAGAAAUUUGGAUACAGACAUAGACACACACUGAGGGAAGGUGAAGUAAAGGGGCAAGGAGAAGACGGCCUGCAACGGGAGUGACGCCCUUACAAGCCGAGGGACGCCUGGCAGUGCCAGCUGACACCAGGAGCAGGGAGAGGCCAGGAAGCCUGGCAGUGCCAGCUGACACCAGGAGCAGGGAGAGGCCUGGAACGGUUCUCCCUGGAGACAUCCGGGACACACCUUGAUUUCAGGAUUCCAUGAUAGCUUCCAGAACUGCCAAAGAACGCAUUUCUGUGUUUUCAGCCACCCAGUCUGUGGUAUCUUGUGACUGCCGCCCUAGGAAAGUAAAACAAGGAGUUAAUUCAUGAAGGGUGGGGGAAAUACGUACCCUUUGAAAUACCACCUAGAGGAAGGGGUAAUAGUACACCCGAUCAUGUGCUCCAGUUUAUGAAAUAGUUGCACGUCACUCGGAAUUUUGAAAAACAAUAUAUUUUCAGGACU
RNAcentral lists this long non-coding RNA (2165 nucleotides) under Homo sapiens (human). Its description in RNAcentral is "long non-coding RNA NONHSAT191524.1". The record is from RNAcentral. Lineage: Eukaryota; Metazoa; Chordata; Mammalia; Primates; Hominidae.